CGCUAGACUCACCACAGUUAUGUCCAUGCCUGUUUUGUGACUGUGCCAGUGUCCAUACUGGAUUCCCAGUGCUGUAUCACAAGUGCCAAACAGAAGAGCACAACCCUUUCUCUUGACCUGCUGGCUACGUUCUUGCUUUCUGUGCAGCUGGCUUUUGCUGCAAGGACAUGUUUCAGAUUCACAUUGAACUUAUCAUCCACCAGACCUGCAGCUGUUUUCUCUAUGUCCUACUCUGUAUGGAUAGUUCUGGAAGCAGCAGCAUCUUUCUGACAAACCCACCCUCAUCCUGUAAUUCCCUGAAUCUCAGGCUGGAAGCAUGCAAGGAUGUGCCCAACUGCUGUCUACCCAUGUGUAUCCAUAAAACGGCACACUGACUAGUCACACAAAGAGGACACCUGGCCAACACAGCAGGAAAUGAGUAUCAGUGAACCCAAGCAUGUCUCUCCGAAAGACAUGCAGCUUUGGGUCAGUGUCUACUGAUGACUGGAGAAAAGAAUCCACCAUUCAAAGGAUCAUAUACACUUCAUCUGACGUCUGAUAAGCAAAACUUUGAUAGUUUUGGUUCCAUGUCAUCUUCCAAACACUUUGCAUUUGUUUGGGUUUUUGCUUGUUUUUAAAGAAGCGAUAAAUUUAAAAGGAAAAGAGGGCCUUUUGGCCAAUAGCAGUUUUCUCUGAUUGUAGUUCCACAAAGGCACCCUAAGACUGACUAACUCAGUUGUAUGCGGGGG
Molecule: long non-coding RNA, 728 nt
Organism: Falco peregrinus (peregrine falcon)
Lineage: Eukaryota; Metazoa; Chordata; Aves; Falconiformes; Falconidae
Exons: 2
Source: RefSeq, a predicted model, not a curated record